CCUGCCCACUGAAUAAUUUAAAUGGCCGCAGUAAUUUGACUGUGCAAAGGUAGCAUAAUCAUUAGUUUUUUAAUUAAAAGCUUGUAUGAAGGGUUGGACGAGAUAAAAUCUGUCUUUAUUUAAUUAAAAUUAGAAUUUAAUUUUUAAGUUAAAAAGCUUAAAUGUUAAUAAAAGACGAGAAGACCCUAUAAAUCUUUAUAUUAUAAUAUUUAAUUUUAUUUAGGUUUAUUUAUUUAUUUUUAAAUUUUAUAUUAUUUUAUUGGGGUAAUAAAUAGAUUAAAAUAAUUCUUUUUUUUAUUUACAUUGAUUUAUGAUUUUUUGAUCCAAUAUUUUUGAUUAUAAGAUUAAGUUACUUUAGGGAUAACAGCGUAAUUUUUUUAUAGAGUUCUUAUCGAUAAAAAAGUUUGCGACCUCGAUGUUGGAUUAAAAAUUGUUCUAGGUGUAGUAGUUUAGAAAUUUGGUCUGUUCGACCAUUAAAUUUUU
Molecule: ribosomal RNA, 483 nt
Filed under: Agaporomorphus knischi
Lineage: Eukaryota; Metazoa; Arthropoda; Insecta; Coleoptera; Dytiscidae
Description: partial 16S ribosomal RNA
Rfam family: Archaeal large subunit ribosomal RNA (bases 360-483)
Source: RNAcentral